AUGGCUCGCGGUGAUCAUCAAAACGAUGAUGAUGAUUUCAUGGAUGCACCGCAGCAGAAUCGGGCAACUGGACGGAGAAAAGACGGCGAUGAGAAGAAGAAACGUACUCGCAAUAGGGCCUCGCAGGAACGCCUGACUUCAUUGACCGACAGAUUUACCGACGAUCAGAAGGGAGCUGCUGCUGAGAUGGGUAUGCAGGCUCUGAUGGAUAUCCGGUGCAAGAAUCUAGUGAACCCUGUAUGCGACUGGCUUGGUGAGAUUUACGACCCCGCCUCCAGGGAAUUUGUGAUUCCGGGACGUGGAAGACUGCCGUUGGACGAGGAAUCCGUGUUCUGCACUUUGGGUGUGCCCCGUGGAGAAAUCAAAGUCCCGUACGAGGUCAUGACAACCCAUGGCGAGGUUUUUAUGAUGGAGCUACUCAUGUACCUCAUCUCAGCUGUUUUCGCGCCGACCACUUCUCUUCGCCCAAGCAACAAAUGCUUCCCCAUCCUGGCGAAACUGAAAGAUGUGAAGAACAUGAAAUGGUGUAAGUUCAUCGCCGACUUCCUACAUGAUGCAUUCUCAAACAAGAUGUACCAGAAGAGUUGUCGACUGCAUUUAAUGCUCAUGUACGUCGACUGUCUUGAUCUGUCUACCGUGGACUUCACUGGGAUAGGAGGCCCGCCGCCAACACACAAGUUUGAUGUUUCUGCGUGGACUUACGAUGUUGUCAAGGCUGUGCUUGCUGCAGACAGGGUAACUGAUACCAAAUAUGGAAAACUGCAGCUGAUGGCCAAGCAUGCUAUAGACUACAGCGUGUUUGGGGGCCUCAAAACUUUGGAAAGUGGAUGGACGUGCACUCAGCUCCGUCUUGCCCUACUGAGGUGA
This 867-nucleotide ribosomal RNA is filed under the name Triticum aestivum (bread wheat). RNAcentral's name for it is "partial small subunit ribosomal RNA". The record is from RNAcentral. Lineage: Eukaryota; Viridiplantae; Streptophyta; Magnoliopsida; Poales; Poaceae.